Rattus norvegicus (Norway rat) is the source of this 1926-nucleotide non-coding RNA. The record is from RefSeq and is a predicted model, not a curated record. Lineage: Eukaryota; Metazoa; Chordata; Mammalia; Rodentia; Muridae.
AGACCAAUCCCCAGCAGUUCACUAUGGUAACUGAAACAACUGAAAAUAACUACCAAGUGGGCUUGCCUUUCAGGAUGCUAAAACUUUCUAGAGCUCCGUAGAGCUAGGGCCAAUAAUAUCAGCCUCCAACGUUGAUGAAAAUGCUUGCUGACACCCACCUGGCACAAGCACAUUCAUGCCUAGCCAGCUGGACUGUAUCAAGAGGACAAGCUGAAGCACCAGAAGGUGAAGAAAUUGAUGCUAUUUAUGGGAACAAUCUGCAGCCACCUCUCUGUCACAGGUCUGGGAGAAAAGUGAUGCUCAGAGACCGGGAGAAAGCAGCCACCCAGCUUCUGCAAGUUUGCAUGAGAGCCAGAGCGGGGCAGUAGGCUUGCAAAUGUACCUUGUAGGAAGUAAUUUCUACCUUGUAGGGAGUAAUUUCAUUGCUCAUUACACAUGGGGAAUCCUCAAAGAGAGGAAAGAACAGAUGAUGAAUCCAGAUUAAAAAUUAGAGAAACUGGUGCAGCCAAAGAUAAGACAGGAUUGGCAGAGAUUGCGGCAAAUUUCUGGAGGCCCCUGAGAUACCGAAAGCCAAGGCUCCAACGAUGCUUCCCACGAUGCUCCCUCCCCCUUGUCCUUAUCAUUUUCUUGGUCCUUAGCUGUACCCUGCAAGGUCUUCCCUCCACAGGGAAGCUAACCCAGCAGAUGUUGGUCAAGCAUGACCUCUAUGUGGACACAUGGAAGUGAAGGGUACACAGGUCAGAUUAAUUAGAACCUUGGAAGCUUUCGACAGUGUCUUAGAGCUCCAUUGCUGGGAAGAGACACUGUGACCAAGGCUGCUCUUAGGAGAACAAGUCAUUAGGGCAGGCUUAGAGUUUCAGAGGUUCAGUCCAUUAUCAUCAUGGUGGAUCGCAUGGCAUUGUGCAGGCAGACUUGGUGCUGGAGGAGCCAUGAAAUCUUCAUCUUGGUCUGAAGGCAGCUAGGAGGAGACUGGAUUUCUGCACUGGGCAGAGCUAGAGCGUGUGGUUUCUGCUAACCUGCUUUAAGCUCUGGGCGGACCAUGUUACCAGCACCACCCUAGUUCCAUUGGAUCUUUGGAUGAAACAUACACACACACACACACACACACACACACACACACACACACACAGGCACACACAUGCAGAGCUCAAUUUUAACCUGCCUUUAUGGCUUAGAGGCUGGGCUCUUCUAAGCCUCCCUCGGCUACUGUGGUUCAGGGGCUGGGUUUUACUAAGCCGCCUGUGGCUAUCGUGCCUUUUCCUUUACUCCUUGCUCAACACUCUCUGUCUUUAGCUUAGUUGUCCAAUUACCUUCUUGCUCAACACCCUACAUCUGCCCUCAGCUUAGUUAUGUCUCUAAUCUCCUGCCUGGGGAAGCAGCCAAUGGAUACUCCACCCAAGAUCUCACAUGGCUGCUGACUCUCUCUUCUUCCAAAGCAUGGAGAAUUCCCUCUCCUCCCCCUACUUCUCCUAGCCUGCCUGAGGGAACCUGAAAGUCGCACCACUUCCUCCCAGCCCUUAGCUUCAGACAUCGUUAUUGAUCGAACAAGAACCAAUUGGAGAACAGGACCUUCAGUGGUCACAAGCAAAUUCCUAAUCAAAGCAUCAGAGCCAUCCCCUACAAUGGAGAGAGCUUGAGCAUAGGAAGCAUCAAAGUCCUCCCCAGCAGUGACACCAUUUCUCCAACACCUCCUAAUAUUGCCCUUUCCUGUUGGCCAAACAUUUAAACACAUGAAUUUAUGGGAGCCAUGCCUAUUCAAUCCACCACAAGCACCAUAAAGAAAGAUGAAGGUAUCUCUUCCCAGAAAAAAAAAUCUAGAUGAAAUGUUAUUUCGAGGAUGACAUGAACUUAUAUGCUAAGAUUAAAAUAACCUCCUUUUACACUAUGAAAUUCAAAUUUUACUAAUUAAAGAUGAACAUUUCUGUC